Long non-coding RNA from Octopus bimaculoides (California two-spot octopus), 663 nucleotides. NCBI's taxonomy places the organism in Eukaryota, Metazoa, Mollusca, Cephalopoda, Octopoda, Octopodidae. The record is from RefSeq and is a predicted model, not a curated record.
CACUCUCUCUCUCACACACACACACACAUGCACACACAAGUCCAUUUCAUAUACAUGUACAUACAUCUUUCACUUUCUCCUCUCUUUCGCUUUAAAACAAAAGUAAAUAAAUUUAAAAAAUUUACGGAAAUUAACAAACAGCAAUGACAUUUAUAUAUGGCUGUGAUUAAGAAGAACACUUUACAACCACAUGAUCUUGGGUUGAGUCCCACAGUGUGGCACCGUAGAGAAAUAUCAUCUACUACAGCUGCAGGCUGGAGUAGAUAUAAAUCUAACGAUGUUUUCCUCUGUUUACAUCACCACGAAAUGGGUUUCGCAAGACUAAUUUGGAUGCUUCCAGUUCAAGGUGUUGCCUGCAAUGACCAGAUAGAUGCAGCCAUCUUUGUUUGAUCUUCUCACUAACUUUCAGCAAGUCUCUAAAACGGCAUUCAUUUGUCACAUGUUGUUGCCAUCUGGAGCAAACACAGACAUACUUUUUCAGUCCCUCUCACCCUUGAUACAAUGAAAUAUGCAUGGUGUGACAGCUGACAGGAGAGAGGACUGUGCCAACAUUGGAGCAGUACCCAUUUUCAGUUACAUACACUGGAGCAAUGUAGAAUGAAGUGCCUUGCUCAAGGACACAAUGUAUCAUUCAGUGAGGAAAUAAAAUCUCCAAUCUCACAA